RNAcentral lists this ribosomal RNA (1554 nucleotides) under Salmonella enterica subsp. enterica serovar Krefeld. RNAcentral's name for it is "bacterial SSU rRNA". It matches the Rfam family "Bacterial small subunit ribosomal RNA". The record is from RNAcentral. Lineage: Bacteria; Pseudomonadati; Pseudomonadota; Gammaproteobacteria; Enterobacterales; Enterobacteriaceae.
AAAUUGAAGAGUUUGAUCAUGGCUCAGAUUGAACGCUGGCGGCAGGCCUAACACAUGCAAGUCGAACGGUAACAGGAAGCAGCUUGCUGCUUCGCUGACGAGUGGCGGACGGGUGAGUAAUGUCUGGGAAACUGCCUGAUGGAGGGGGAUAACUACUGGAAACGGUGGCUAAUACCGCAUAACGUCGCAAGACCAAAGAGGGGGACCUUCGGGCCUCUUGCCAUCAGAUGUGCCCAGAUGGGAUUAGCUUGUUGGUGAGGUAACGGCUCACCAAGGCGACGAUCCCUAGCUGGUCUGAGAGGAUGACCAGCCACACUGGAACUGAGACACGGUCCAGACUCCUACGGGAGGCAGCAGUGGGGAAUAUUGCACAAUGGGCGCAAGCCUGAUGCAGCCAUGCCGCGUGUAUGAAGAAGGCCUUCGGGUUGUAAAGUACUUUCAGCGGGGAGGAAGGUGUUGUGGUUAAUAACCACAGCAAUUGACGUUACCCGCAGAAGAAGCACCGGCUAACUCCGUGCCAGCAGCCGCGGUAAUACGGAGGGUGCAAGCGUUAAUCGGAAUUACUGGGCGUAAAGCGCACGCAGGCGGUCUGUCAAGUCGGAUGUGAAAUCCCCGGGCUCAACCUGGGAACUGCAUUCGAAACUGGCAGGCUUGAGUCUUGUAGAGGGGGGUAGAAUUCCAGGUGUAGAGGUGAAAUGCGUAGAGAUCUGGAGGAAUACCGGUGGCGAAGGCGGCCCCCUGGACAAAGACUGACGCUCAGGUGCGAAAGCGUGGGGAGCAAACAGGAUUAGAUACCCUGGUAGUCCACGCCGUAAACGAUGUCUACUUGGAGGUUGUGCCCUUGAGGCGUGGCUUCCGGAGCUAACGCGUUAAGUAGACCGCCUGGGGAGUACGGCCGCAAGGUUAAAACUCAAAUGAAUUGACGGGGGCCCGCACAAGCGGUGGAGCAUGUGGUUUAAUUCGAUGCAACGCGAAGAACCUUACCUGGUCUUGACAUCCACAGAACUUUCCAGAGAUGGAUUGGUGCCUUCGGGAACUGUGAGACAGGUGCUGCAUGGCUGUCGUCAGCUCGUGUUGUGAAAUGUUGGGUUAAGUCCCGCAACGAGCGCAACCCUUAUCCUUUGUUGCCAGCGAUUCGGUCGGGAACUCAAAGGAGACUGCCAGUGAUAAACUGGAGGAAGGUGGGGAUGACGUCAAGUCAUCAUGGCCCUUACGACCAGGGCUACACACGUGCUACAAUGGCGCAUACAAAGAGAAGCGACCUCGCGAGAGCAAGCGGACCUCAUAAAGUGCGUCGUAGUCCGGAUUGGAGUCUGCAACUCGACUCCAUGAAGUCGGAAUCGCUAGUAAUCGUGGAUCAGAAUGCCACGGUGAAUACGUUCCCGGGCCUUGUACACACCGCCCGUCACACCAUGGGAGUGGGUUGCAAAAGAAGUAGGUAGCUUAACCUUCGGGAGGGCGCUUACCACUUUGUGAUUCAUGACUGGGGUGAAGUCGUAACAAGGUAACCGUAGGGGAACCUGCGGUUGGAUCACCUCCUUACCUUAAAGAAGC